Molecule: long non-coding RNA, 368 nt
Organism: Sebastes umbrosus (honeycomb rockfish)
Lineage: Eukaryota; Metazoa; Chordata; Actinopteri; Perciformes; Sebastidae
Exons: 3
Source: RefSeq, a predicted model, not a curated record
ACCGAACUCUCUGUCUCUCUAUUAGUGACAUAAAGCAGUGGCUGUCACAAAAUGUCCUUCAUUUAAAUGAAGGUAAAACUGAAUGCAUUAUGUUUGGUUUCAGUUUGCUUUAGAAUCGAUUUUAAGCUCUUGAUGUUUGUUUUUAAAGCCGUUAACGACCUCACUCCACCUUAUUUGUCUGAGAUAAGUGAGCAUAACGGGGCUUUGCAGUCAUCUGGUCAACCUUUUUUAGAAGUCCGAGGUCGAGGUAUAAGCUGUGGGGUGAUCGUGUUUUGGCUGUCGCUUCUCCUAAACUAUAGAACAAGUUACCCCCUGAUAUACGCACUAUCACUGACCUAAUACUUUUUAAAUCUAAGCUCAAGACCAUU